CGGCUGUGGGCUGAAAAAUUGCAUAUAAAAAAAAUAGCCAAUAAUAUAAAUUAUUACCAUGUAAAGCAGCUCUUGUAGUGUAAUUCAUAAAUAGUAUAGUUUGUGCGUGCGAGUUGGUGAUACAAUUAAGUGUUACGGAUAUUUUUUUUCUAGCGUCUUUGCCUAUUCUCUACUGCAACAAUAACGGGUCUUACAAGUAGCAUAAGUAACAAACAAAUAAACAAAACAAAAAAAAAAACAACAAGCAACAACAAUUAUUAACUAUGUAAAUAAGCAGAAAUUAGCAACAAGAGAGACAGAGAAAGAGAGAGAGCAACUGCAAGCCAAGCAAUAAUAUCGAGUGCAAC
Drosophila innubila is the source of this 347-nucleotide long non-coding RNA. RefSeq lists it as uncharacterized. The transcript is spliced from 3 exons. NCBI's taxonomy places the organism in Eukaryota, Metazoa, Arthropoda, Insecta, Diptera, Drosophilidae. The record is from RefSeq and is a predicted model, not a curated record.